CGGCUAUACAUGCAAGUCGAGCGGACAGAAGGGAGCUUGCUCCCGGAUGUUAGCGGCGGACGGGUGAGUAACACGUGGGUAACCUGCCUGUAAGACUGGGAUAACUCCGGGAAACCGGAGCUAAUACCGGAUAGUUCCUUGAACCGCAUGGUUCAAGGAUGAAAGACGGUUUCGGCUGUCACUUACAGAUGGACCCGCGGCGCAUUAGCUAGUUGGUGGGGUAAUGGCUCACCAAGGCGACGAUGCAUAGCCGACCUGAGAGGGUGAUCGGCCACACUGGGACUGAGACACGGCCCAGACUCCUACGGGAGGCAGCAGUAGGGAAUCUUCCGCAAUGGACGAAAGUCUGACGGAGCAACGCCGCGUGAGUGAUGAAGGUUUUCGGAUCGUAAAGCUCUGUUGUUAGGGAAGAACAAGUGCGAGAGUAACUGCUCGCACCUUGACGGUACCUAACCAGAAAGCCACGGCUAACUACGUGCCAGCAGCCGCGGUAAUACGUAUGUGGCAAGCGUUGUCCGGAAUUAUUGGGCGUAAAGGGCUCGCAGGCGGUUUCUUAAGUCUGAUGUGAAAGCCCCCGGCUCAACCGGGGAGGGUCAUUGGAAACUGGGAAACUUGAGUGCAGAAGAGGAGAGUGGAAUUCCACGUGUAGCGGUGAAAUGCGUAGAGAUGUGGAGGAACACCAGUGGCGAAGGCGACUCUCUGGUCUGUAACUGACGCUGAGGAGCGAAAGCGUGGGGAGCGAACAGGAUUAGAUACCCUGGUAGUCCACGCCGUAAACGAUGAGUGCUAAGUGUUAGGGGGUUUCCGCCCCUUAGUGCUGCAGCUAACGCAUUAAGCACUCCGCCUGGGGAGUACGGUCGCAAGACUGAAACUCAAAGGAAUUGACGGGGGCCCGCACAAGCGGUGGAGCAUGUGGUUUAAUUCGAAGCAACGCGAAGAACCUUACCAGGUCUUGACAUCCUCUGACAACCCUAGAGAUAGGGCUUUCCCUUCGGGGACAGAGUGACAGGUGGUGCAUGGUUGUCCUCAGCUCGUGUCGUGAGAUGUUGGGUUAAGUCCCGCCACGAGCGCAACCCUUGAUCUUAUUUGCCAGCAUUUAGUUGGGCACUCUAAGGUGACUGCCGGUGACAAACCGGAGGAAAGUGGGGAUGACGUCAAUCAUCAUGCCCCUUAUGACCUGGGCUACCCCGUGCUACAAGGGACGGAACAAAGGGCUGCCAAACCCG
This 1226-nucleotide ribosomal RNA is filed under the name bacterium. Its description in RNAcentral is "bacterial SSU rRNA". It matches the Rfam family "Bacterial small subunit ribosomal RNA", at positions 45 to 1258 of the family's 1533-position model. The record is from RNAcentral.